ACGACUCUCGGCAACGGAUAUCUCGGCUCUCGCAUCGAUGAAGAACGUAGCGAAAUGCGAUACUUGGUGUGAAUUGCAGAAUCCCGUGAACCAUCGAGUCUUUGAACGCAAGUUGCGCCCGAAGCCUUCUGGCCGAGGGCACGUCUGUCUGGGCGUCACG
This 160-nucleotide ribosomal RNA is filed under the name Rumex acetosa (garden sorrel). RNAcentral describes it as "5.8S ribosomal RNA". It matches the Rfam family "5.8S ribosomal RNA". Rfam says of the family: 5.8S ribosomal RNA (5.8S rRNA) is a component of the large subunit of the eukaryotic ribosome. The record is from RNAcentral. Lineage: Eukaryota; Viridiplantae; Streptophyta; Magnoliopsida; Caryophyllales; Polygonaceae.